AGGGUUUGAUCCUGGCUCAGAACGAACGUUGGCGGCGUGGAUUAGGCAUGCAAGUCGAACGAGAAAGGCUUUUUCGGAAGCCAAGUACAGUGGCGGACGGGUGAGUAAUGCAUAGACAACUUGCCCCUGAGAUGGGAAUAACGCUUCGAAAGGAGUGCUAAUACCCAAUAUUGCCUCGAGUCGAUAGGUUCGCGGUGAAAGGAGGCCUCUGAUUAAGCUUCCGCUCAGGGAGAGGUUUAUGUCCUAUUAGCUUGUUGGCGGGAUAACAGCCCACCAAGGCAGCGAUGGGUAGCCGACCUGAGAGGGUGACCGGCCACAUUGGGACUGAGACACUGCCCAAACUCCUACGGGAGGCUGCAGUCGAGAAUCUUCCGCAAUGCGCGCAAGCGUGACGGAGCGACGCCGCGUGGGUGACGAAGGCCUUCGGGUUGUAAAGCCCUGUUAGCUAUUAUGAAUUGCGGGCAAUGAAUAGUUGUCCCGUUUGACGUAUGUAGCAAAGAAAGCACCGGCUAACUACGUGCCAGCAGCCGCGGUAAUACGUAGGGUGCAAACGUUGUUCGGAAUCACUGGGCAUAAAGCGCGCGUAGGCGGUUCGGUCAGUCAGAUGUGAAAUCCCCCGGCUCAACCGGGGAACUGCAUAUGAUACUGCCGAGCUAGAGUGCAGGAGGGGAGAGCGGAAUUCCUGGUGUAGCGGUGAAAUGCGUAGAUAUCAGGAGGAACGCCGGUGGCGAAAGCGGCUCUCUGGACUGUUACUGACGCUGAGGUGCGAAAGCUAGGGGAGCGAACGGGAUUAGAUACCCCGGUAGUCCUAGCCCUAAACGAUGGGUACUAAGUAGGGGGGAUUUUCAAAUUCUCUCUGCCGGAGCUAACGUAUUAAGUACCCCGCCUGGGGAGUAUGGUCGCAAGGCUAAAACUCAAAGGAAUUGACGGGGGCUCACACAAGCGGUGGAGCAUGUUGUUCAAUUCGAAACAACGCGAAGAACCUUACCUGGGUUUGACAUGCUUGGGACCGCCUACGAAAGUAGGUUUCCUCUAUGAGGCCCUUGCACAGGUGUUGCAUGGCUGUCGUCAGCUCGUGUCGUGAGAUGUCGGGUUAAGUCCCAUAACGAGCGAAACCCUUGUCCUUAGUUGCCAGCGGGUCAUGCCGGGCUACUUUAAGGAGACUGCCGGUGUUAAACCGGAGGAAGGUGGGGAUGACGUCAAGUCAUCAUGGCCUUUAUGCCCAGGGCCACAAACGUGCCACAAUGGUCGGUACAAAGAGAAGCAAGACCGAAAGGUGGAGCGAACCUCAAAAAGCCGAUCUCAGUCCGGAUUGGGGGCUGCAACUCGCCCCCAUGAAGUUGGAAUCGCUAGUAAUUGCGGAUCAGCUACGCCGCGGUGAAUGUGUUCCUGAGCCUUGUACACACCGCCCGUCAAGCCACCCAAGCAGGGCGCACCCGAAAUCGCUGGCCCAACCCUUCGGGGGGGGAGGCGCUGAAGGUGAGUUUUGUGAGGGGGACUAAGUCGAAACAAGGUA
RNAcentral lists this ribosomal RNA (1516 nucleotides) under metagenome. RNAcentral describes it as "bacterial SSU rRNA". It matches the Rfam family "Bacterial small subunit ribosomal RNA". The record is from RNAcentral.